AAGACAGUUCGGUCUCCUAUCUACCGUGGACGUUGAAACUUGAGGGGGCUCCUCCUUAGUACGCAAGGACCAGGAGGAAUGAACCUCUGGUAUACCAGUUGUUCUACCAAGAGCAUUGCUGGGUAGCCACGUUCAGUUUGGAUAAAUGCUGAAAGCAUAUAAGCGUGAAGCUGUCCCCAAGAUUAGGUUUCAUAAGCUCCUAGAAGAUUACUAGGUAUAUAGGCUUCAGGUGUAAGUCCAGCAAUGGAUUGAGCCGAGAAGUCCUAAUAAGCUAUU
RNAcentral lists this ribosomal RNA (276 nucleotides) under bacterium (Candidatus Moisslbacteria) CG_4_10_14_0_2_um_filter_36_61. RNAcentral's name for it is "partial 23S ribosomal RNA". It matches the Rfam family "Bacterial large subunit ribosomal RNA", at positions 2623 to 2912 of the family's 2925-position model. The record is from RNAcentral.